RNAcentral lists this ribosomal RNA (491 nucleotides) under uncultured bacterium. Its description in RNAcentral is "partial 16S ribosomal RNA". It matches the Rfam family "Bacterial small subunit ribosomal RNA", at positions 29 to 506 of the family's 1533-position model. The record is from RNAcentral.
AGUGAACGCUGGCGGUAGGCCUAACACAUGCAAGUCGAACGGCAGCACAGUAAGAGCUUGCUCUUACGGGUGGCGAGUGGCGGACGGGUGAGGAAUACAUCGGAAUCUACUUUUUCGUGGGGGAUAACGUAGGGAAACUUACGCUAAUACCGCAUACGACCUACGGGUGAAAGCAGGGGAUCUUCGGACCUUGCGCGAUUGAAUGAGCCGAUGUCGGAUUAGCUAGUUGGCGGGGUAAAGGCCCACCAAGGCGACGAUCCGUAGCUGGUCUGAGAGGAUGAGCGGCCACACUGGAACUAGGACACGGUCCAGACCCCUACGGGGGGCAGCAGGGGGGAAUUUUGGAAAAGGGGGGCAACCCUGACCCACCCAUCCCGGGGGGGGAAAGAAGGCUUUCGGGUUGAAAAGCCCUUUUGUUGGGAAAGAAAAGCAGCAGGUUAAAACCCCGCUGUUCUGACGGUACCAAAAAAAUAAGCACCGGAAAAUUUCGG